GCUGGGCGUGCUGGAGUGUGCCUGUAGUCCCAGCCACUCAGGAGGCUGAGGCAGGAGGAUCACUUGAGCCCGGGAGUUCUGGGGCUGUAGUGCACUAUGCUAAUCUGGUGUCCACACUAAGUUCGGCAUCAAUAUGUUGACCUGGGAGAGGGAGACCACCAGGUUGCCUAAGGAGAGGUGAACCAGCCCAGGUUGGAAAUGGAGCAGGUCAAAAACUCCCAUGCUGAUCAGCAGUGGGAUCACACUGCAUGCACUCCAGCCCGGGCAACAUAGCGAGACCCUGUCUCU
Molecule: signal recognition particle RNA, 288 nt
Filed under: Gorilla gorilla gorilla (western lowland gorilla)
Lineage: Eukaryota; Metazoa; Chordata; Mammalia; Primates; Hominidae
Description: Metazoan signal recognition particle RNA (ENSGGOG00000036940.1)
Rfam family: Metazoan signal recognition particle RNA
About the family: The signal recognition particle (SRP) is a universally conserved ribonucleoprotein. It is involved in the co-translational targeting of proteins to membranes.
Source: RNAcentral